Molecule: ribosomal RNA, 331 nt
Filed under: uncultured Microbacterium sp.
Lineage: Bacteria; Bacillati; Actinomycetota; Actinomycetes; Micrococcales; Microbacteriaceae
Description: bacterial SSU rRNA
Rfam family: Bacterial small subunit ribosomal RNA
Source: RNAcentral
GUCGUCAGCUCGUGUCGUGAGAUGUGGGUUAAGUCCCGCAACGAGCGCAACCUCGUUCUAUGUUGCCAGCACGUAAUGGUGGGAACUCAUGGGAUACUGCCGGGGUCAACUCGGAGGAAGGUGGGGAUGACGUCAAAUCAUCAUGCCCCUUAUGUCUUGGGCUUCACGCAUGCUACAAUGGCCGGUACAAAGGGCUGCAAUACCGUAAGGUGGAGCGAAUCCUAAAAAGCCGGUCCCAGUUCGGAUUGAGGUCUGCAACUCGACCUCAUGAAGUCGGAGUCGCUAGUAAUCGCAGAUCAGCAACGCUGCGGUGAAUACGUUCCCGGGCCUU